UGAGUAACCUGCCCUUCACUCUGGGAUAACUCCGGGAAACCGGGGCUAAUACUGGAUACGACCUACUCGGGCAUCCGAUGUGGGUGGAAAGAUUUAUCGGUGAGGGAUGGACUCGCGGCCUAUCAGCUUGUUGGUGAGGUAAUGGCUCACCAAGGCGACGACGGGUAGCCGGCCUGAGAGGGCGAUCGGCCACACUGGGACUGAGACACGGCCCAGACUCCGUACGGGA
This 229-nucleotide ribosomal RNA is filed under the name uncultured bacterium. Its description in RNAcentral is "partial 16S ribosomal RNA". It matches the Rfam family "Bacterial small subunit ribosomal RNA", at positions 118 to 346 of the family's 1533-position model. The record is from RNAcentral.